GGGUUGUGAGGUUAAGCGACUAAGCGUACACGGUGGAUGCCCUGGCAGUCAGAGGCGAUGAAGGACGUGCUAAUCUGCGAUAAGCGUCGGUGAGGUGAUAUGAACCGUUAUAACCGGCGAUUUCCGAAUGGGGAAACCCAGUGUGAUUCGUCACACUAUCAUUAACUGAAUCCAUAGGUUAAUGAGGCGAACCGGGGGAACUGAAACAUCUAAGUACCCCGAGGAAAAGAAAUCAACCGAGAUUCCCCCAGUAGCGGCGAGCGAACGGGGAGGAGCCCAGAGCCUGAAUCAGUGUGUGUGUUAGUGGAAGCGUCUGGAAAGGCGCGCGAUACAGGGUGACAGCCCCGUACACAAAAAUGCACAUACUGUGAGCUCGAUGAGUAGGGCGGGACACGUGGUAUCCUGUCUGAAUAUGGGGGGACCAUCCUCCAAGGCUAAAUACUCCUGACUGACCGAUAGUGAACCAGUACCGUGAGGGAAAGGCGAAAAGAACCCCGGCGAGGGGAGUGAAAAAGAACCUGAAACCGUGUACGUACAAGCAGUGGGAGCCUCUUUUAUGGGGUGACUGCGUACCUUUUGUAUAAUGGGUCAGCGACUUAUAUUCUGUAGCAAGGUUAACCGAAUAGGGGAGCCGAAGGGAAACCGAGUCUUAACUGGGCGUUAAGUUGCAGGGUAUAGACCCGAAACCCGGUGAUCUAGCCAUGGGCAGGUUGAAGGUUGGGUAACACUAACUGGAGGACCGAACCGACUAAUGUUGAAAAAUUAGCGGAUGACUUGUGGCUGGGGGUGAAAGGCCAAUCAAACCGGGAGAUAGCUGGUUCUCCCCGAAAGCUAUUUAGGUAGCGCCUCGUGAAUUCAUCUCCGGGGGUAGAGCACUGUUUCGGCAAGGGGGUCAUCCCGACUUACCAACCCGAUGCAAACUGCGAAUACCGGAGAAUGUUAUCACGGGAGACACACGGCGGGUGCUAACGUCCGUCGUGAAGAGGGAAACAACCCAGACCGCCAGCUAAGGUCCCAAAGUCAUGGUUAAGUGGGAAACGAUGUGGGAAGGCCCAGACAGCCAGGAUGUUGGCUUAGAAGCAGCCAUCAUUUAAAGAAAGCGUAAUAGCUCACUGGUCGAGUCGGCCUGCGCGGAAGAUGUAACGGGGCUAAACCAUG
This 1158-nucleotide ribosomal RNA is filed under the name Escherichia coli. RNAcentral describes it as "partial 23S ribosomal RNA". It matches the Rfam family "Bacterial large subunit ribosomal RNA", at positions 1 to 1191 of the family's 2925-position model. The record is from RNAcentral. Lineage: Bacteria; Pseudomonadati; Pseudomonadota; Gammaproteobacteria; Enterobacterales; Enterobacteriaceae.